AAAUUGAAGAGUUUGAUCAUGGCUCAGAUUGAACGCUGGCGGCAGGCCUAACACAUGCAAGUCGAGCGGUAGCACAGAGAGCUUGCUCUCGGGUGACGAGCGGCGGACGGGUGAGUAAUGUCUGGGAAACUGCCUGAUGGAGGGGGAUAACUACUGGAAACGGUAGCUAAUACCGCAUAACGUCGCAAGACCAAAGUGGGGGACCUUCGGGCCUCAUGCCAUCAGAUGUGCCCAGAUGGGAUUAGCUAGUAGGUGGGGUAACGGCUCACCUAGGCGACGAUCCCUAGCUGGUCUGAGAGGAUGACCAGCCACACUGGAACUGAGACACGGUCCAGACUCCUACGGGAGGCAGCAGUGGGGAAUAUUGCACAAUGGGCGCAAGCCUGAUGCAGCCAUGCCGCGUGUGUGAAGAAGGCCUUCGGGUUGUAAAGCACUUUCAGCGGGGAGGAAGGCGUUAAGGUUAAUAACCUCAUCGAUUGACGUUACCCGCAGAAGAAGCACCGGCUAACUCCGUGCCAGCAGCCGCGGUAAUACGGAGGGUGCAAGCGUUAAUCGGAAUUACUGGGCGUAAAGCGCACGCAGGCGGUCUGUCAAGUCGGAUGUGAAAUCCCCGGGCUCAACCUGGGAACUGCAUUCGAAACUGGCAGGCUAGAGUCUUGUAGAGGGGGGUAGAAUUCCAGGUGUAGCGGUGAAAUGCGUAGAGAUCUGGAGGAAUACCGGUGGCGAAGGCGGCCCCCUGGACAAAGACUGACGCUCAGGUGCGAAAGCGUGGGGAGCAAACAGGAUUAGAUACCCUGGUAGUCCACGCCGUAAACGAUGUCGAUUUGGAGGUUGUGCCCUUGAGGCGUGGCUUCCGGAGCUAACGCGUUAAAUCGACCGCCUGGGGAGUACGGCCGCAAGGUUAAAACUCAAAUGAAUUGACGGGGGCCCGCACAAGCGGUGGAGCAUGUGGUUUAAUUCGAUGCAACGCGAAGAACCUUACCUGGUCUUGACAUCCACAGAACUUAGCAGAGAUGCUUUGGUGCCUUCGGGAACUGUGAGACAGGUGCUGCAUGGCUGUCGUCAGCUCGUGUUGUGAAAUGUUGGGUUAAGUCCCGCAACGAGCGCAACCCUUAUCCUUUGUUGCCAGCGGUCCGGCCGGGAACUCAAAGGAGACUGCCAGUGAUAAACUGGAGGAAGGUGGGGAUGACGUCAAGUCAUCAUGGCCCUUACGACCAGGGCUACACACGUGCUACAAUGGCAUAUACAAAGAGAAGCGACCUCGCGAGAGCAAGCGGACCUCAUAAAGUAUGUCGUAGUCCGGAUUGGAGUCUGCAACUCGACUCCAUGAAGUCGGAAUCGCUAGUAAUCGUAGAUCAGAAUGCUACGGUGAAUACGUUCCCGGGCCUUGUACACACCGCCCGUCACACCAUGGGAGUGGGUUGCAAAAGAAGUAGGUAGCUUAACCUUCGGGAGGGCGCUUACCACUUUGUGAUUCAUGACUGGGGUGAAGUCGUAACAAGGUAACCGUAGGGGAACCUGCGGUUGGAUCACCUCCUUACC
This 1542-nucleotide ribosomal RNA is filed under the name Klebsiella pneumoniae 30684/NJST258_2. RNAcentral's name for it is "bacterial SSU rRNA". It matches the Rfam family "Bacterial small subunit ribosomal RNA". The record is from RNAcentral. Lineage: Bacteria; Pseudomonadati; Pseudomonadota; Gammaproteobacteria; Enterobacterales; Enterobacteriaceae.